CCGUGCAGCUGGGGAGUUAGCGGUGCCCUGUACCUGCAAUCCGCUAUAGCAGGGGUGAUGUCCGGUUUCGGGUUGGUUUUUCUAAUGCAGCCCUCUAUAAGUGGCGUUGACGUUUGGGUCUUACGCAAUGGGAAUUCAUGAACCGUGUCAGGUCAGGAAUGAAGCAGCACUAAGUGAAACCUCCCAUGUGCCGUGAGGAAGCCUGGGCUGAGCAAACUGUAGAGGUAACGGUUAGGAAAAUUGAUUCAACGCCGGAUGCACGG
Acetivibrio ethanolgignens is the source of this 263-nucleotide non-coding RNA. It matches the Rfam family "Bacterial large signal recognition particle RNA". From Rfam's summary of the family: The signal recognition particle (SRP) is a universally conserved ribonucleoprotein involved in the co-translational targeting of proteins to membranes. Archaeal SRP consists of a 7S RNA and homologues of the eukaryotic SRP19 and SRP54 proteins. In most bacteria, the SRP consists of a 4.5S RNA and the Ffh protein (a homologue of the eukaryotic SRP54 protein). The record is from Rfam. NCBI's taxonomy places the organism in Bacteria, Bacillati, Bacillota, Clostridia, Acetivibrionales, Acetivibrionaceae.